Molecule: ribosomal RNA, 1404 nt
Filed under: metagenome
Description: bacterial LSU rRNA
Rfam family: Bacterial large subunit ribosomal RNA
Source: RNAcentral
AAAAAUCCGUCCCGCAUGGGUCCGAGGUGCGAUGAUGGGGGCCUUAUGGCCCGAUAUCCGGUGAUCCCGGCUGCCGAGAAAAGCUUCGGCGUCAGGCUCAAAGCCGCCCGUACCCCAAACCGACACUGGUGGUCAGGUAGAGAAUACCAAAGCGAUCGAGCGAAUCCUGGUCAAGGAACUCGGCAAAUCACUCCCGUUCCUUCGGUUUAAGGGAGACCCCCGAUGGUGAACACACUUGCUGUGGGAGCUUUUGGGGGUGGCACAGACCAGGGGGUAGCGACUGUUUACCAAAAACACAGGUGCAUGCGAAGGCGCAAGCCGCUGUAUAUGCACUGACGCCUGCCCGGUGCCGGAAGGUUAAGAGGAUCCGUCAGCCUUCGGGUGAAGCGGUGAAUUCAAGCCCCGGUAAACGGCGGUGGUAACUAUAACCAUCCUAAGGUAGCGAAAUUCCUUGUCGGGUAAGUUCCGACCUGCACGAAUGGCGUAACGACUUCCCCACUGUCUCGACCAGGAGCUCGGCGAAAUUGCAGUACGAGUAAAGAUGCUCGUUAAGCGCAGAAGGACGAAAAGACCCCGGGACCUUUACUAUACCUUGGUAUUGGCAUUCGGUGUGGAUUGUGUAGCAUAGGCGGGAGGCCGAGAGGCGCGGUCGCCAGAUCGCGCGGAGCCGUAAGGUGAAAUACCGCUCUGUUCGCAUUGGAUGUCUAACCUCGAACAGUCAUCCUGUUCAGGGACAGUGCCUGGCGGGUAGUUUAACUGGGGCGGUUGCCUCCCAAAGAGUAACGGAGGCGCCCAAAGGUCCGCUCAGCCCGGUUGGCAAUCGGGUGGCGAGUGCAAGUGCACAAGCGGGCUUGACUGCGAGGACGACGGUCCGAGCAGGGACGAAAGUCGGGACUAGUGAUCCGGUGCCGGUGUACGGACGCGGCAUCGCUCAACGGAUAAAAGGUACCCCGGGGAUAACAGGCUGAUCAUUCCCAAGAGUCCAUAUCGACGGGAUGGUUUGGCACCUCGAUGUCGGCUCGUCGCAUCCUGGGGCUGGAGCAGGUCCCAAGGGUUCGGCUGUUCGCCGAUUAAAGCGGCACGCGAGCUGGGUUCAGAACGUCGUGAGACAGUUUGGUCUCUAUCCUCUGCGCUCGUUGGAAUGCUGAGGAGGCCUGCCCAUAGUACGAGAGGACCUGGGUGGACGAACCUCUGGUAUGCCGGUUGUCACGCCAGUGGCACGGCCGGUUGGCUACGUUCGGAAGGGAUAACCGCUGAAAGCAUCUAAGCGGGAAGACUGCUCCAAGAUAAGCAUUCCGUGGAACCUUCGAGUUCCUGUAGUCCCCAUGCAGAACACGUGGUCGAUAGGCCGGACGUGGAAGCCCCGCGAGGGGUGGAGCCGACCGGUACUAACGGACGAAAGCC